This is a long non-coding RNA of Dioscorea cayenensis subsp. rotundata (Guinea yam), 566 nucleotides long. RefSeq lists it as uncharacterized. The record is from RefSeq and is a predicted model, not a curated record. The transcript has 4 exons. Lineage: Eukaryota; Viridiplantae; Streptophyta; Magnoliopsida; Dioscoreales; Dioscoreaceae.
CGUCAGCCGAAACCUUUUUCUCCAUUGGCGGCCGAUCCUAUUCCUUGUCUCCUUCCUCCUUUAAAAGGGCAGUGAAACCUCUGUCAAAGGCAAAGAGCUUGUGGAGGAGUAGUCACGCUUGGGAUCUUAGACCCACGGGUCUAAGCAUUUAUUUAUGUAUAUAGGUGACUGUGAGCCUAUGGCUCUGCUACUACAGUAGUGGUCUCCACUGUCCGACCUAGCGAGAGGCGGCAUGGUAGACUGGCUGAGGUAUGAUACCCAUUCAGGAGGCGCGGAGAAAACCUAAAUUGGGAGUGGGUGGAAACAUCCACUGAUUUUGAAACACUGUGUUUCACCACAUGAGUGGACUCAGUGGCCAACAUUAAGGUGGGCUUGAUAUCGUCAAGGUGGUGAUUGUUAGAGUUGUGGCGCUAGGUCGUUGUGCUGGGCUACACUUUCCUCUUAUCUUUUCCCUCAAGUUGAUUUAGGUUGGGUUACUUUCUCAUUGUUAAACUUGAUAGUCGGAUCCACUAAUGUGUAAUAAAUGAUUUGCUAUUUGUCGUUCUCAGUUUUUUUUAACAUUUCCC